UGAAUUUUGAGAGAGAACCGGCAGGAGAGAAAGGGAGAAAGAAGAAGAAGAAGAGAAAAGAGGGAAAUUAGAAAGGAAAUAGAAAGGAGUUGGAGGAAAUAAGUAAAAAGGUAAGAUUUAGGUUGUUAAAUGUGUAAAUUUGUAUUAUUGAGCUUUUAAUUUUGGUUUUGAUAAAUGUUAGGGUUUUGAAAAUUUGUGUUUUGGGUUUAAUUGAUGAAUUAAAUUGAAUGUUAUAAGGUUGAUUGUUAUGGGUAAUUGAUUAAUGAGUUGAUUAUGGAAGAUUGUGAUGAUUUUGAGUUAUGAAUUGUGUAAAUGGUGAAUGUUGAGUUAGAAAUUUGGCAAGAACAGUAGGUUUCUGUUAAAAAUUCUGGGUUGGAGGUUGAAGAUGACGAAAAUUCAAUUUGGUCCCUCAAUUUUGGAAAAUUACAGUUUAGUCCCCAAACUUUGGAAAAUUUGCAGAUUGGUCCCUGGAGCAUAUUCCGAGAUUCUGAACAGAAUAACAUAUGAAUUAUGGACAGAAUUACUGUAUAGAUAAGAGAAUUUAACACUUUCAAUUUAGUCCUUCAAUUUGACAAAAUUACAAUUUAACCCUAAAAAUUUGGUAAAAUUCCAGAAUGGUCCUUGGAGUAUAAUGAGAUGAUCUGGACAGAAAUGAGGACUAAUUAUGGUCAGAAUUUCAGUAUAUUCAUGGAUUUAUGAUAAAUUUCAGUUUGGUCCUCCAAUUAGACAAAAAUUGCAAUUUGACCCUUAAAAAUAGGAUAAAUUACAGAUUAGUCCCUAGCUGUAAUACUAGCUUUUGCAGAUUGGUUUGAUGAAUAAUUAAGGGUUAUUUAGUGAAUUAUUGCCAAUUUUAUUAGUUGUUUUAUUAUGGAUUAGAUUUCGGGAAAACCGUUAAAUGUUGGGUUUUUAGGAAAGAUAACUAGUUAGUUCAAAAACAUAUAGGGUUAUGGAAUACACCCUUAGUUAAGUGUAUUAAAUAAGUUAAAUAUUCUUUCAAGUCGUUCUUGAAUAUGUCUCCUUUAUAUUCAGAUAAUCCUGAUAUUCUACCGGCGGGACGUCAGUAGGAUUUUCUUCGAUAUCAGCUUUGAGUUUUGUUGCUUUUGAGUCAGGUGAGUGGAUAAUUUUUCAUAUGCAUGAGAAAUAGUAUAAAUAUUUGAUUUGUUAAUAUGAAUUGAGUCAUGCUUCUUGAUAAUAUAUAUGUUGAUUAUUAUCCUUGUUUUGAUAAAGCAUGAUCAAUUGUUGAAUCUGAAUUCUUGAUAUGAACCAGUAUAUAUUUUGAAUUGAAUUCUGAAUUGAUAGCUCCUCAUUUGAUUGAUGUCAUGAGUUGAGCCUUGAGAUAUUAAUAUGUCUGUUUGAUUAUGAUUAUGAACCUAUGGUAUGUCAGUCAGAAUACCCAUGCUAACAGGGUAGUGUUAGUCUUUGUGCACAUCGUAUCUGAACCCUAGUUGGUCGGGGGAGUCACCAACCUGUGUGGACUGAUCAUCCCACAGUACGGAGCCUCAUGCUCAUUGCAUUUUGAUUUUCUGACGAGCUUUACCAUAUGAUAUUCUUGUUAUGGCCUAUUUGAGAAACCUUUCUAUAAGAACCUAGAGCCAUACUUGUAUAUAUAUUUCUCAUUGCUGUAUUACCUCGUGUGUGUAUAUUGAACGUUAUCUACUCACUGAGUUGUUGAACUCACCCUCUCAUUAUUUAUCCUUUUCAGGCUUAUAGCUUGAUAGCAGGUCACUUUUGUUGGACUUUCCGAACCUGCUCUUUUGGUUGUAAUUUGUACAUUUUCCUUUAUGUCUAGUUAGUGCUCCAAAACUCCGAAUUUAUAUUAACUCUUGUAUUAAGACAAUUCAAUUAUAUUAUGAAGUUGAUUUUGUUAUUAAUGCUGCGUUGAACUCUGAUUGAGUUAGGAUAAGUUUGUGUGUAAGUUUGGGUUCGCAUAGGUAUGGAACCUUGGAGGGGAACCUUGCCUAUGUGCCGGUCAUGGAUCCGGGAUUCGGGUCGUGACAAACUUGGUAUCAGAGCUUUAGGUUAAAAAACAAUAAUAUAAUUAAAUUCGUAAUAAGUGGAGCAUUAGGAUCCGUGUUGUCUUGUUUGUUGUCUUUGAAAUUCUGAAUUCUCAUUAAGCAUGUCUUCUUCCUUGUGAUAGAUAUGCUUUCCUAUAAUUCUGUGGUAAUUAUCAUGCUAUUGUUCUAGCAUGACUUGAGUGCUCUCAUUUUUAUUUUAGGAAAUGCUGACGAAUAGACGAAUAGCUGAUACUGUUAGAGUAGAGGAUGAUCAGGAUAAUGUCCCUAUUGGGCGGUUGAGAACUGCAAGGCAGAGAAGGAGGCGCGGUGCACCCGUGCCUCAACAUGUUGAGGAGGUACCUCCACCAGUGGAGGAAGAGCCUCAGGAGAUAGAAGAGGAAGAUAUUGUUGAUGAAACAGGUGUGGGGGUAGCUGACCCUGAACCUGUUACAGAGUUUCAGCAACUUAGCCAGGUUGUGCGGACCUGGAUAGAGUUUUCUAUGGAGAGAGAUAGAAGGAGGGAUAGAGAUGUACCCUCGACAUCCCACACUGUUCAGGGAGUUAAUGUGCCGUUGAAUGACUUCAUGAAGUUGGCACCUCCUAUUUUUACUGGGAUGGAUAGUUCAGAGGAUCCUCAGAGGUUCCUAGAUGAUAUUUGGCGACGGUGUGAAGCUUUGGGAUGUACAGACCACCGAGCUGUGAGUUUGGCAUCGUUCAGGUUGGAAGGAGAUGUGGCAAUCUCUUGGUUUGAGUCUAGGAAAAGAGCAAGACCAGUAGAGGCUCAGUGGACAUGGAAGGAGUUUAGCUCCAUGUUCUUAGACAGGUUUCUCCCUCAGAGCGUCAGAGAUGCUCGACUUUAUGAGUUUGAGAGGCUAUCUCAGGGGAGCAUGACAGUGGAUGAGUAUGAUCUGAAGUUUACUCAGCUGUCUAGGUAUGCAGAACAUCUUCUACCCACUGAGGAGUGGAGGGUGAAGAGGUUUAUUAGAGGACUCAAAUCCUCUAUGUAUAAGGUGAUGGUGUCACAGGUGUUUCCAUCAUACUCUUUAGCUGUUGAUAGCGCCAGAUUGAUAGAGGCGCGAGAAUUGGAGGAUAUGACUGCAGGCCAGUCUAAGAGGCCUAGAGAAGAGGGUCAGUCUUUUAGGCAACAGGGAUUAAGUGCAGGUCCGUCUAGGGGACGAAGUGGCCGUCAGGGCUCAUGGGUUCAGAGGAGGUUUAGACAGAGACCGUCAGUUAGUGGCUCAGGCGGUCAGAGUGGCAGUAGUGGUACUCAGAGUUUAGUUCAGACUGCACCUCGUAGUUCAUUUGUUUCACCUAGUGAUAGUUCUUCAUGUCAGCAUUGUGGAGGAAGUCAUACUAGUGCAGAGUGCUACAGAAGGACUGGGGCUUGUUUUAGUUGUGGCCAGAUAGGUCAUAAGAUCAGAGAGUGCCCGAGGAGACAGUUGUCAGCUUCGGGGUUAUCUGCUUCAGUCCAACAUCCUAUUCAGGCACCAUCGACGAGCCAGUCUGUGGCUCAUGGGGGUAGAGGUUUUGGUGGCCGUGGUCAGAGAGGCCGGGGUGCAGGUGAUAGAGGUCAGAUACAGCAGGGUCAGGGGCAUGCUAGAGUUUUUGCCUUGACUCAGCAGGAUGCUCAGGCAUCCAACACAGUUGUUUCAGGUAUUCUUCCUGUUUGCUCUUUUGAAGCAAAAAUGUUGUUUGAUACGGGUGCAACCCAUUCAUUUAUGUCCCCAUAUUUUGCCAUGAGGUUAGAUAAACAACCAACCUUGUUAAAAUCCCCCAUUUCAGUCUCCACUCCCUUAGAUGAAUUAAUAUUAGUGAAGUAUGUGUAUCUGGAUUGUGAAAUAGAGAUUGGAGAUAAAAAUUUUAUGGGAGACUUAAAUGUCUUAGAUAUGGUUGAUUUUGAUGUGAUUUUGGGAAUGGAUUGGUUGGCAAAGCAUAGGGCUUCGGUAAAUUGUUGGGGUAAGAAAAUAAUAUUUGAUCUAGAUGAAGAAGUUGGGUUGGUAUUUCAAGGAGAUAAGAUUGGGUCUCCAUCAAUUAUGUUGUCGGCUAUCUCGAGGAAAAUGGCCAGAAAAGGGGUACAGUGCUACCUAGCAUAUAUAGUGGAUGUAGAGAAAGAAGUUUCCCAGUUAGACCAAGUCCCUAUAGUUAGGGAGUUUAUCGAUGUCUUUCCCGAUGACUUACCUGGAUUGCCUCCAUAUAGGGAGAUUGAGUUUUGCAUUGAUUUGGUUCCGGGUACCGAACCAAUAUCAAUGGCACCAUAUAGAAUGGCGCCAGCAGAAUUGAGGGAGCUAAAGGAGCAACUGCAGGAUUUGUUAGAUAAAAAGUUCAUCCGACCAAGUGUGUCCCCUUGGGGAGCCCCAAUGUUGUUUGUGAAGAAGAAAGAUGGGUCAUUGAGGUUGUGUAUAGAUUAUAGGCAACUGAAUCGGGUGACUGUUCGAAAUAGAUACCCACUCCCUCGCAUUGAUGAUUUGUUUGACCAGUUGCAGGGAGCUCAAUUCUUUUCUAAGAUCGAUCUUCGAUCUGGGUAUCAUCAGUUGAGGAUUAGGGAGUCAGACAUUUUGAAGACAGCUUUUAGAACUCGGUAUGGUCAUUAUGAGUUCUUAGUGAUGUCUUUUGGGUUGACGAAUGCACCAGCAGCUUUUAUGGAUUUGAUGAAUAGAGUGUUUGGCCAGUUUAUUGAUCAAUUUGUGAUAGUUUUUAUUGAUGAUAUUUUGGUGUAUUCGAGGUCUAAAGAGGAGCAUGAGCAGCACUUGAGAAUGGUGCUUCAAACUCUGCGAGAACAUCAGUUGUAUGGCAAGUUCUCAAAGAGUGAGUUUUGGUUGGAGAGUGUAGCAUUUCUUGGGCAUGUAGUGUCAAGGAAUGGGAUUGAGGUUGAUCCUCAAAAGAUUGAAUCAGUUAAGCAGUGGCUUAGGCCUACUUCGGCGACAGAGAUUAGAAGUUUCUUAGGUUUGGCCGGCUAUUAUCGGAGGUUUGUGGAGAACUUUUCUCGGAUUUCUGCACCAUUGACUAAGUUAACGCAGAAAAAUGUUAAGUUUCAGUGGUCUGAAGCUUGUGAGAAAAGUUUCUUAGAGUUGAAAGAGAGAUUGACUACAGCGCCUGUUCUAGCAGUACCAUCAGGUUCUGGUGGUUACACAGUGUAUUGUGAUGCUUCGAGAGUGGGGUUAGGAUGUGUUCUAAUGCAGCAUGGCAAGGUUAUUGCCUAUGCUUCACGGCAGCUGAAGAAGCAUGAACAGAACUAUCCUACACAUGAUUUAGAGAUGGCGGCUGUAAUUUUUGCCUUGAAGAUUUGGAGGCACUACUUGUAUGGUGAAACUUGUGAGAUCUUCACAGAUCACAAGAGUUUGAAAUACAUCUUUCAGCAAAGGGAUCUAAACAUGAGGCAAAGGAGAUGGAUGGAACUGCUGAAGGAUUAUGAUUGUACCAUACAUUACCACCCGGGUAAGGCAAAUGUAGUUGCCGAUGCUUUGAGUAGAAAAUCAUCAGGGAGCUUAGCUCAUAUUCAGGAGGUACGAAGACCUCUGAUUAGGGAGCUGCAUGAGUUGGUGGAUGAAGGAGUCAGAUUUGAUCUUAGUAAAGCUGGAGCAAUGAUUGCUCAUUUUCAGGUUAAGUCAAAUUUGUUUGAUAAGAUAAAAGCAGCUCAGAAGAAAGAUGAUUCACUACUCAGGAUUAGAAAUGAGGUUGAGCAGGGUAAGGCUGCAGGUUUUGUGAUAGGUGAUGAUGAUGUGCUGAGAUAUAGGGAUAGGCUUUGUGUACCUGAUGUAGAUGAUCUGAGGAGAGAAUUGAUGGUAGAGGCACAUCAGACAGUUUACACAAUGCAUCCAGGUUCCACCAAGAUGUAUAAAGACCUUAAGGUGUGUUAUUGGUGGAAUAGGAUGAAGGCUGAUGUAGCAGACUUUGUUUCUAGGUGUUUGACCUGUCAGAGGGUAAAGGGUGAACACCAGAAACCUCCUGGAUUGUUGCAACCAUUGUUGAUUCCAGAAUGGAAGUGGGAAAGGAUCACAAUGGACUUUGUGACAGGAUUGCCUAGGAGUCAGGAGGGUUAUGAUUCAAUAUGGGUGAUUGUUGACAGGUUGACAAAAUCAGCCCAUUUUCUGCCAGUUAGGAUUACUUAUGGAUAUGCAAAGUUGGCAGAAUUAUUUAUUAGUGAGAUUGUACGGUUGCAUGGAGUGCCAAUCUCGAUAGUGUCUGAUAGAGGUCCACAGUUUACAUCGCGGUUUUGGGUGAAAUUCCAAGAAGCUAUGGGUACUAAAGUGCAGUUGAGUACAGCUUUUCACCCUCAGACAGAUGGUCAAUCUGAGAGGACUAUUCAGAUCUUGGAGGAUAUGCUAAGGGCUUGUGUCAUGGAUUUUGGAGUUGGUUGGAGUAAGUUUCUACCAUUAGUGGAAUUUGCUUACAACAACAGUUAUCAGGCUAGCAUAGAGAUGGCACCUUAUGAGGCUUUGUAUGGUCGGAAGUGUAGAUCACCGGUUUGUUGGUUUGAGGUUGGUGAGAAGAGGCUAAUGGGACCAGAGUUGAUUCAGAUUACCUCAGAGAAGAUAGAGGUAAUUAGAAAUAAGCUUCAAACAGCUCAGAGCAGACAAAAGAGUUACGCAGAUAAAAGAAGGCGUGACUUAGAGUUUUCAGUGGGUGACUGUGUGUUCUUAAAAGUAUCACCGACAAAAGGAGUAUUCAGGUUUGGGAAGAAAGGCAAGUUGAGUCCUCGGUUCAUUGGACCGUAUGAGAUUCUGGAGAGAGUUGGGGCAGUUGCUUAUAGGUUAGCAUUACCACCAAACUUGUCUGCUAUUCAUCCGGUAUUUCAUGUUUCCAUGCUAAGGAAGUAUAUGUCAGAUCCAUCGCAUGUAUUAGAGGUCUAUCCCAUUGAAUUGAGAGAUGAUAUGGUUUAUGAGGUGCAACCGGAAGCUAUAGUCGACCGACAAGUGAGGAAGCUUAGGUCGAAGGAUAUAGCUUCAGUGAAAGUGAAAUGGAAAGGUCAUUCACGUGAGGAAGCGACCUGGGAGCUCGAGGAUAAGAUGCGUGAGGAGUAUCCUCAUCUUUUUGAUAAUCUCGGUAAGUAUUCAAUCUUUUCUAUUAAGUUUCGAGGACGAAACUUUUAUAAGGUGGGGAGAUUGUAAUGUUUUGUAUUAAAAGAUAGGAAAUGGCAACAAGGCCCUUGAAUGCUUAGAUGUAGGAAUAAAUUAAAUGAGGGGUAGUGUGGUAAUUGAACAAUAGUUGAUAUAUAUAAAUAGAGAGAAGGAAAAAAAAAACAAAAGAGAGAUCUGAAAAAUUUGAGAGAGAAUCGGCAGGAGAGAAGGGAGAAAGAAGAAGAAGAGAAAAGAGGGGGAAAUAAGGGAAAAAGGAAAGGAGUUGAAGAGAAUAAGUUUAAAGGUAAGAUUUAGGUUGUUAAAUGUAUAAAUGUAUGUUAAUUGAGCUUAAUUUCAGUUUUGAUGAAUGUUAGGGUUUUGAAAAUUUGUGUUUUGGGUUUAAUUGAUGAAUUAAAUUGAAUGUUAUAAGGUUGAUUGUUAUGGGUAAUUGAUUAAUGAGUUGAUUAUGGAAGAUUGUGAUGAUUUUGAGUUAUGAAUUGUGUAAAUGGUGAAUGUUGAGUUAUAAAUUUGGCAAGAACAAUAGGUAAUCUGUUAAAAUUCUGGAUUGGAGGUUGAAGAUGACGAAAAUUCAAUUUGGUCCCUCAAUUUUGGAAAAUUACAGUUUAGUCCCCGAACUUUGGAAAAUUUGCAGAUUGGUCCCUGGGGCAUAUUCCGAGAUUCUGAACAGAAUAACAUAUGAAUUAUGGACAGAAUUACUGUAUAGAUAAGAGAAUUUAACACUUUCAAUUUAGUCCUCCAAUUUGACAAAAUUACAAUUUGACCCUAAAAAUUUGGUAAAAUUCCAGAAUGGUCCUUGGAGUAUAAUGAGAUGAUCUGGACAGAAAUGAGGACUAAUUAUGGUCAGAAUUUCAGUAUAUUCAUGGAUUUAUGAUAAAUUUCAGUUUGGUCCUUCAAUUAGACAAAAAUUGCAAUUUGACCCUUAAAAAUAGGAUAAAUUACAGAUUAGUCCCUAGCUGUAAUACUAGCUUUUGCAGAUUGGUUUGAUGAAUAAUUAAGGGUUAUUUAGUGAACUAUUUCCAAUUUUAUUAGUUGUUUUAUUAUGGAUUAGAUUUCGGGAAAACCGUUAAAUUUUGGGUUUUUGAGAAAAUUGAUUAGUGAGUUCAAAAACAUAUAUGAUUACGGAAUACACCCUUAGUUAAGUGUAUUAAAUAAGUUAAAUGUUCUUUUGAGUCGUUCUUGAAUAUGUCUCCUUUGUAUUCAGAUAAUCCUGAUAUUCUACCGAUAGGACGUCAGUAGGAUUUUCUUCGGUGUCUGCUUUUGGCUUCUGUUUGCUUUUGAGUCAGGUGAGUGGAUAAUUUUCCAUAUGCAUGAGAAAUAGUAUAAAUAUUUGAUUUGUUAAUAUGAAUUGAAUCAUGCUUCUUGAUAAUAUAUAUGUUGAUUAUUAUCCUUGUUUUGAUAAAGCAUGAUCAAUUGUUGAAUCCGAAUUCUUGAUAUGAACCAGUAUAUAUUUUGAAUUGAAUUCUGAAUUGAUAGCUCCUCAUUUGAUUGAUGUCAUGAGUUGAGCCUUGAGAUAUGAAUAUGUCUGUUUGCUUAUGAUUAUGAUUAUGAACCUAUGGUAUGUUAGUCAGAAUACCCAUGCUAACAGGGUAGUGUUAGUCUUUGUGCACAUCGUAUCCGAACCCUAGUUGGUCGGGGGAGUCACCAACCUGUGUGGACUGAUCAUCCCACAGUACGGAGCCUCAUGCUCAUUGCAUUUUGAUUUUCUGACGAGCUUUACCAUAUGAUAUUCUUGUUAUGGCCUAUUUGAGAAACCUUUCUAUACGAACCUAGAGCCAUACUUGUAUAUAUAUUUCUCAUUGCUGUAUUACCUCGUGUGUGUAUAUUGAACGUUAUCUACUCACUGAGUUGUUGAACUCACCCUCUCAUUAUUUAUCCUUUUCAGGCUUAUAGCUUGAUAGCAGGUCACUUUUGUUGGACUUUCCGAACCUGCUCUUUUGGUUGUAAUUUGUACCUUUUCCUUUAUGUCUAGUUAGUGCUCCAAAACUCUGAAUUUAUAUUAGCUCUUGUAUUAAGACAACUAAAUUAUAUUAUGAAGUUGAUUUUGUUGUUAAUGCUGCGUUGAACUCUGAUUGAGUUAGGAUAAGUUUGUGUGUAAGUUUGGGUUCGCAUAGGUAUGGAACCUUGGAGGGGAACCUUGCCUAUGUGCCGGUCAUGGAUCCGGGAUUCGGGUCGUGACACUCCUAUUGAGCAAUUAUCAGUACACCACCGGUCCGCGCAUGGGGAGCCGGAAUCCCCAACAAGAAAUUCUCAUUGUUCAUGUUAAAGACCUCGAAAUUCCAAAAUUAUAGCUAUCUAAAUGCUGAUCCCUUACACUCUUCGAAAUUGACCUUCAUCUUUUGGAUUUUAUGAGUUGGUAAACCUGCUAUUAAUCAGCGGACCGUGAGAAACCAAAAAUCAGAACAUAUUUUCAGACUGGUUUUAUUAAGUACAUACAAUUUAGUUUACAUGACUCAGGUUUAUGGAGUAUCUAGAUGAAGCUUAGACCACCCCUCCAUUGAUGCUUUGUGGACCUGAACUGUGAUGUUUUGAAUUAAAAGAGAUAGGAAAAGGCAACAAAGCUCUUGGAGGCUUAAAGAGUGGGUAUAAGUAAAUGAGGGGUAGUGUGGUAAUUAAAUAAACAUAAUAAGUAUAAAUAGAAAAAAAAAGAGAGAGAUCUGAAAUCAAGAGUGAUGAUGGGAUAAGAGAAGAAAAGGGGAAGAAGAAGAAGAUAAAAGAGGUAAAGAUAAGGGAAAUAGAAGAUAAUUGAAGAAAAUAAGUUUAAAGAUAAGAUUUAGGUUGUUAAAUGUAUAAAUGUGUGUUCUUUGAGUUUUAAAUUUCUGUUUUGAUAAAUGUUAGGGUUUUGAAGAUUGUGUUUUGGGUUGAUUGAUGAAUUAAUUUGAAUGUUAUGGGUUGAUUGUUGUGGGUAAUGAGUUGUUUAGUUGAUUUUGAAAGAUUUUAGGUAAAGAUGAUGAUUUUGAGUUAUGAUUUGUGUAAAUGGUGAAUUUUGAGUUAGAAAUCUUGAGAUAACAGUAGGUUUUCUGUGGAAAUUCUGGGUUUGAGGUUGAAGAUGACAAAAUUUCAGUUUGGACCCUCAAUUUAUAAAACUUACAGUUUAGUCCCUAAACUUUGAAAAAAUUACAAAUUUACCCUAAAAUUUUGGAAAAAAAUCCAGAAUGGUCCCUGGAGCAUAAUUAGAGAUUCUGGACAAAAAUGAGGAUGAAUUAUGGAUAUAAUUCCACUAUAGUCAUGAAUUUAUGAUAUUUUUAGGUUGGUCCUCCAAUUUGACAAAGUUACAAUUUAACCCUUAAAAAUAUGAUAAAUUCCAGAUUGGUCUCUAUCUGUAAUAUUAGCUUUUGCAAAUUGGUUUGAUGAAUAAAUGAGGGUUAUUUAAUGAAUUAUUAUCAAGUCUUAUUAUUUGUUUUAUUAUGAAUUAGAUUUCGAGAAAACCGUUUAAUUUUGGGUUUUUGGGAAAAUAACUAGUUUAGUAUAAAAACAUAUAGGGUUGUGAAAUAUACCCUUAGUUAGGUAUAUUAAAUAGGUUAUAUGUUCUUUCAAGUCGUUCUUGAAUAUGUCUCAUUUGUAUUCAGAUAAUCCUGAUAUUCUACCGGCGGGAUGUUAGUAGGAUUUCCUUCGGUAUCUGCUUUUGAGUGUUGUUUCCUUUCGAAUCAGGUGAGUGGAUAAUUUUUCAUAUGUAUAAGAAAUAUUAUAAAUAUUUGAGUUGUUAAUAUGAAUUGGAUCAUGCUUCUUGAUAAUAUAUAUAUAUAUAUAUAUAUAUAUAUAUAUAUAUAUAUAUGUUGAUUAUUAUCCUUGUUACGAUAAAACAUGAUCAAUUGUUGAAUCUGAAUUCUUGAUAUGAACCAAUAUAUAUUUUGAAUUGACUUUUGAAUUGAUAACUCCUCAUUUGAUUGAUGUCAUGAGUUAAGUUUUAAGAUAUGAAUAUGUUUGUUUGAUUAUGAUUAUAAAUCUAUGGUAUGCUAGUUAGAAUACUCAUGCUAACAAGGUAGUGUUAGUUUUUGUGCACAUCAUAUCUGAACUCUAGUUGGUCGGGGGAGUCACCAACCUGUGUGAACUGAUCAUCGCACAGUAUGGAGCCUCAUGCUCGGGGGAGUCACCAACCUGUGUGAACUGAUCAUCGCACAGUAUGGAGCCUCAUGCUCAUUGCAUUUUGAUUUUCUGAUGAGCUUUACCUUAUGAUAUUUUUGUUAUGGCCUAUUUGAGAAACCUUCUUAUAAGAACAUAAAGUUAUAUAUAUAUCAUUGUUGUAUUACCUCGUGUGUGUGUAUUGAGCGUUAUAGUACACUGAAUUGUUGAACUCACUCCCUCAUUAUUUAUCUUUUCAGGCUUAUAGCUUGUUAGCGGGUUAUUUUAUUGGACCUUCAGAACCUGCUCUUUUGUUUAAAUUAGUAUUUUCCUUUUAUGUCUAGUUAGUGCUCCAUAACUAUGAAAUUGUAUUAACUUUUGUAUUAAGACAAUUAAAUUAUAUUAUAAAGUUAAUUUUGUUAUUAAUGCUGCGUUGAACUCUGAUUGAGUUAGGAGAAAUUUGUAUGUAAGUUUGGGUUCGCAUAGGUAUGGAACUUUGGAGGAGAACCUUGUCUAUGUGCCGGUUAUUGAUCCGGGAAUUAGGUCGUGACAUGAACUAUAUAUUUCUAGUGAGUUUUGAGAUUUUUGGCUUUGUUGGAUUGUUUUUACAACUUUAAAAUAAACAUUUUUUGAGCAAGUUUCGUGCUGUGAAAAUAAUCAAGAGUACCAGUAAUGAAAGGAAGAACUUCUGGAAACGUAUGACAGAAAAUAGGACAAAAUUGGUAGGAUGCACUGAUUGAGAUUCAGAAGCAAUACCUAGCUUUAGCUUCUGCAAAUCCUGUGAACUGUGAAGCAUACUACCAGAAUGGUUUGCUUUCUCGUACAAAAGAAAACCAUCCUAUUCAAAGAAAACCUUUGUCUAACCCAACGGGGAUAGUUAGGAGAAUGACUUGGGACCUAAGUGGGAUUUGGUUUGUGGUUAGACCAGUUACGAUGUUGCCCAUCAAAACCAUCAAUUUCCUCACAAAUUGAAUUAGAUAGAAGAACAUAUUCAAAUCAGUAAAAGAAUUAGAUUGAAUUAGAUCCUAUUCAAAGAAAACAUCUGAGAAUGUUGGUGAAGUCUUGCCUUCAAUACAAGAUAGUGAAACAGUAAAAGAAAUGAAUGUAGUAUAAGACAUGAAGACAUUCUUAUAAAUAUAAAAAUCAGUUCUUGUUAAGAAAAUAAUUACUGACAUUUCAUGCAUGCAUACAGAAAGCAAUGAUCAAUCAACUAACUUAAACAUUAUACACGCUGUCCUACUAUCCAAGUAGAUGAGAGGAAACGUAAGAGAGACUUGUAAUUAGAAGCAAACUACAGCUUCAAGAUGUAGAAUGUCUACGCAAAAACUAAUCUAUCUUGCCUCUACCAGUGAAAUCGAGCAUUGGUUUGUUGAAUAUCGUUUGCUGUGGCUUGGUAGAUUACUCGCUUCAAUAACGUCCCUUGCAGUAAAAUAACCCGGCUGUUUAGGCUGAGGCAAUUUAUCUUCAUUACCUAGCAUCAAAACCACAUACGAAAUGCUUGGCCUAUCUUCAGGACUUUCUUGCACGCAUAACAGCCCCAAUUGAAUCACACGUAGCACUUCAGAUAAAUUGCAUGUUUCAAUCGUCGAUUCCGCAAUCAGUUCCGAUGGCCUGCCUUCAUUAAACAGUGUCCAAGCCUGUUAAGAUAAAUCAUGUUACUAAAAUGAGAUCUCAUACCCAGAACUAAAAAAAAACCUUAAGUUUUUUUUAUGGCAGUACUUACAUGUCCAAGUAGGUUGAGUUGGUGAUCUGAAUGAUAGAAUCCUCUGUUCCUGUUGCCACUUACUGUCUCUAACACCAAUACACCAAAGCUGAAGACAUCUGAUUUUAAUGAGUAGAGUCCAUGGAAUGCAUACUCUGGAGAUAUGUAGCCACUGGAAAUAUUCAAAGAAUGUUAGAUGGCAUCUGUCAGAAUUGGAAGUAAACUAUGUAUGCUGGAAACACUUACUAUGUCCCCACCACUUUCCUUGUUUUGGAUUCAGUUUCAUUUCCUUCAACACCUCUCGCCAUCCCGAAGUCUGAAAUUUUUGGGUGCAUGUUGUAAUCUAAUAAAAUAUUGCUGGCUUUUAGAUCUCUGUGAAUUACUCUUAGUCUUGAAUCUUGGUGAAGAUAAAGUAGUCCACGAGCAAUCCCAUUGAUAAUAUUGUAACGCUUAGGCCAAUCUAAUAGCACGCUCCGUGUGUCAUCUAUCUCAAUUACAUAUUUUUCACACGUCAAUCCAUGUCCUUAUCAGAUUCUUAAAUGCAUGUCAAAGAACCACUUGGAUCCUACUUAAAUUAUCAUUACAAUGAUGAAAAUAUUAAUGAAGUAUAAAUGAUCAAGUAAAUCGGUAUAGGUUAGAGAUCCAAACCAAAAAUAAAGAAGUCCAAGCUUUUGUUAGGCAAGAACUCGUAAAUCAACAUCUUUUCCUCUCCUUCAAUGCAGCAUCCUAGAAGCUUCACUAGAUUCCGGUGCUGAAGGUUCACUAUAUGCCUGACUUCAUUUUUGAACUCAUCGAGGCCUUGUCUCGAACUCUUAGAGAGCCUCUUCACAGCUAUUUCAAGUCCAUCUUUCAGUGUCCCCUGAUUAUCAUAAGCAACUAAAUAAUAUUUAGUCCUUUGAGAUUGAGUUGAGAAUCAUAAUAUGAUGUCGCGUAGAACUUGCAUGGAAAGUAAUAGUUUAAUACCUUAUAAACAUGUCCGACUCCUCCUCCUCCCAGCAUAUUGUUAAGAGAAAAGUUAUUUGUUGCAGAAGCCAAGGUAUCUAUUGUAAACAACAAUACUUCCAGAUCUUUGUUCUUGUGCUUGUUAUUUGAACUUAUUCCCGAAACACCAGUCAUUUUUCCUGCCAGAAGAGAAGAAAGAAUGGAUCUCUAUUCUCUGCUAAAUACAGAUCUCUUAAGAAAAUCAAGUACAGUGAUCUCUUUAACAAUUUUCGGUCGUAGAUUGGAUUACUAAAACUCAACUUUGAAAACAAACUAAACUGCCUAUAUCAAUAGAAUAUGGAAACAGAGGGGAAGGGGCAUAGAAGAGGUUAGAAUUUCAUGGUGUGAGUGUAACAUACUGUUUUUCAUCUGAUGCCUUUUCCAAACAUAAAAGACCAGGGCCAGGCCAAGGAACAGAAUUCCUGUAGACAACACGACGCGUAGUAUGAUCCUUUUCUUCUCUUUGGCUUUCGUUUCAAUCUUUACACCAUAACCGUUAUCUGCACAUCAAGGAGUAAAAAAACUAAAGUUAAAAGAUAAUAACAGGUAAUGCCACUAUGCUAUGUAUUUGUUUUGUUAGUUAAUAUGGCUUGAGAAUUUUCAUUAGCUAUCUGGAUCCUUUCAUCACAGUUCAUAUGAUAACUUCAUACCUAGUUCUGAAGCAGCCAUCCUUAUAUAAAUGUCUGGUUCAUUUUCAACAAGUAUUCUAACAUCAAGCAGAUCAUUGAACCAGAGCAAGCAUCCAUUUCCUCCAUCCCUGAUAUCUAAAUUUGAAUAAGCUGUACAACUGCAGUUAUUCAAGCACGUGUUCUUGCACUCUUCAAGAUUCAUGCUCCUGUUAAACCAUGAUGUUUUUGUCUGAGGCAACUUCACAGCCGAGACCUUUUGAAACCCGUCUCCAGAGCAAUUUAGUGGAGUCCUUCUAACACAACCACUUGACCAGUCCAUCAACUCCCAUUCGCUUUGAACUUUUGGUACAAAUCCAUUCAAGCAACCACACAUUGGAGAGCUGUUGAUACUACAGAUACCAUUUGCACCACACAGUGCAAAACGUUCACAAUUAUCGGUAUCUAAGGUGAGAUAAAGCAGCCAACUUUGUGUUUGUUCAAUCCACGUGAAGCGCAGGACAUCACCACCCUGAGUUACCAUGACCCUCCACGGCAUUGACUCACUGAGAACAUGAUAUCUGUAAAAUAUCUCCUCCUCAUUAAAAACAAAUUCAAUUGAGUAUUUGGGAUUUGGGAUUUGGUUUUGAUUGAGGCAUGCCACUGAACCUCAGACCAUUCCACGGUCCAGACCGGUGCUUAACAAUUGAAUUCUCCACCACAAUUAUCUCAGGAUAUCCAUAAGGAACAAGAAUUACUGAAACAUUACCUCUUGAAGGAUCAUCCGGUGACUUCCAGGAUGUAAUGUAAGAGUCCAUCCCUGUUAUUCUAUUCCGUCCUAGCUUCAUUUCAGGCAAUAAUGUAUCAGCUGGAUGUUCAAAACUCUGCCACAAGGAGCUUUCCAGGUUAUCAUCACCCUCCUCCUUCACAACAAGGUUUCCUGAAUCCAAAAGUUGAGCGGCUGGAUUAGUCGCAGGUCGCGAUGAGUCGGAAGACCAAACUAUGCUCCCGUUCCGAUUUGAAAGGACGAGAAUUCCUUGGUUGGUAAGCCUUAAAACACCUGAUGAAUCAUUAAGUGGGGUUUCUCUGUUGGCAACCCAAACUACAGUCAUCACAGAUAUUUUAGCAUACCAUACCCCCAAGUAUCGGUUUGCAGAAUUCCCCGGGCUAAAAAAUCCCAACUCAUAGGCUCCAUUAGCUGAAAGAAUAGUAUCACCAUCUCUAAUGGAUUGAGUUGUGUUUAUGGUGUCAAUUGCAGUGGAUGUAUCAAUAAUCAACAAUAAAAAGAGAAAUAUGGGAGCUAUGCGAUCCAUUGUUGUUCUCAUGAUUUCUUUGCAGCUCACAUCUUUUAUUUCAAAGACAGACUUAGAUGUAGAAAUACUCCAUGUAAAAAAAAAAUUGCAAUCAUAUUAAUUAGUUCCAUCUAGAGGUGAAUUAGUGAUUUGACAGGCAGUGUUGUUAAGUUUUAUUUCUAAAUGACAACGCAAUUUCUAUAUUUAUUUUCAAAAAUUGACAUGCAGUGUUGUUAAGCUUAGUAAAGCUGAAUUAGUGAUUUGCAUGGUCCGUUGGACUUGGACGAGUAGACUUGUACUCCCCUUCAUCUAAAAUUCUUUCAUUAUCCAGCAAACCUUGUAUACCAUUACUAUUACGAUAUAUUUCUGUUGGUGUUUAUUAAUAAGUAUAGCAAAAGAUUAUUUUGUUUACUAAUAGAUACAGCAAGAGUUUAUUGAUAGAUCUGUUGAUAUUUUUAUUCGUAUUUAUUAAUUUUGUGACUUGACAUUCAAUAAUAGCCAUACAAAUUUAAGAAGCUAAUUGGUUGUUUGACUUCAAAUGCAAUUAAUUAGCCAGCAUUUGCUUUUGUUUUUUUUUUUUUUUCUUUUUUUUUUUAAUUUUACCCUUUAAAAUUAGAUUUGUUUUUUUUUACAUUCAAUAAUAGUCACAAGGCUACUUCGUUUGAGAUGUUUUUAUGAUUUCAGCCAUGAAGAAUAGAUAUUUUAAAUUCUCUCAUACUUAUUGUAUUGAAUAUUUAUCAAAAGUAUCUAAGGGGCAGAAUUAUAAAAUUUAGAGGAGGCCAGAAUUGGACACCCAUCUUAGUGUAAGAGUGUAUUAAUUGGACACCCAUCUUCAAAUGAUUUUAUUUCUAUAAAGAUAAACCUGAACAAGACAAGUUCAUCAACCCUUAAGAACAAGUAUAGAAUAUACAAUGCAUCCUAGGGAUGGUUAUAUAGCAUAACAACAUAAUGUGUAAAAUCUAAUCUUCCCCAUCAUGUUCCAUGAGUGUACAUUAACCUACUACCAUAGCUUAGAACAUGGUUACAUUAUAAACUUUUUUUAGUUUGUGUGCCAAGCUUAUUGUCUGUUUUAACCUAAGCAUAUCUACUAAAAUGAGCUAAACCAAGCUCUUCGUUCUCGCCCAACGAGUGAAUGAAAGUAUCAAAGCUUAUUUAAAAAUAUUUAAUGAAUAAGUGUUUAAUGUGGAAGGUUUACUAGAACCUAUUAUUAUUGCGACCUUAAUUAGUGGGGUACACAACUAAUUUUCAUGGAAACUGUUUGUAAUGUUUUGUAUUAAAAGAUAGGAAAUGGCAACAAGGCCCUUGAAUGCUUAGAUGUAGGAAUAAAUUAAAUGAGGGGUAGUGUGGUAAUUGAACAAUAGUUGAUAUAUAUAAAUAGAGAGAAGGAAAAAAAAAAAAAAAACAAAAGAGAGAUCUGAAUUUUGAGAGAGAACCGGCAGGAGAGAAAGGGAGAAAGAAGAAGAAGAAGAGAAAAGAGGGAAAUUAGAAAGGAAAUAGAAAGGAGUUGGAGAAAAUAAGUAAAAAGGUAAGAUUAUGUAUAAAUAUAUGUUAAUUAAGCUUUAAUUUCGAUUUUGAUAAAUGUUAGGGUUAUGAAAUUUGUGUUUUGGGUUUGAUUGAUGAUUUAAUUUGAAUAUUAUAGAGUUAAUUGUUGUGGGUAUUUGAUUAUUUGGAUGAUUUUGAGAGAUUGAAUUGAAAGAUGAUGAUUUUGAGUUAUGAUUUUGUUUGAAUGGUGAAUGUUGAGUUAGAAAUUUGGCAAGAACAGUAGGUUUCUGUUAAAAAUUCUGGGUUGGAGGUUGAAGAUGACGAAAAUUCAAUUUGGUCCCUCAAUUUUGGAAAAUUACAGUUUAGUCCCCAAACUUUGGAAAAUUUGCAGAUUGGUCCCUGGAGCAUAUUCCGAGAUUCUGAACAGAAUAACAUAUGAAUUAUGGACAGAAUUACUGUAUAGAUAAGAGAAUUUAACACUUUCAAUUUAGUCCUCCAAUUUGACAAAAAUUACAAUUUGACCCUAAAAAUUUGGUAAAAUUCCAGAAUGGUCCUUGGAGUAUAAUGAGAUGAUCUAGACAGAAAUGAGGACUAAUUAUGGUCAGAAUUUCAGUAUAUUCAUGGAUUUAUGAUAAAUUUCAGUUUGGUCCUCCAAUUAGACAAAAAUUACAAUUUGGCCCUAAAAAUAUGAUAAAUUACAGAUUAGUCCCUAGCUGUAAUAUUAUCCUUUUCAGAUUGGUUUGAUGAAUAAUUGAGGGUUAUUUAGUGAAUUAUUAUCAAGUUUUAUUAUUUGCUUUAUUAUGGAUUAGAUUUCGGGAAAACCGUUAAAUUUUGGGUUUUAGGAAAAAUAACUAGUUAGUUCAAAAACAUAUAGGGUUAUGGAAUGCACCCUUAGAUAAGUGUAUUAAAUGGGUUAUAUAUUCCUUUGAGUUAUUCUUGAAUAUGCCUUCUUUGUAUUCAGAUAAUCCUGAUAUUCUACCGGCGGGACGUCAGUAGGAUUUUCUUCAGUAUUUGCUUUUGACUUCUGUUUGCUUUCGAGUCAGGUGAGUGGAUAAUUUUCCAUAUGCAUGAGAAAUAGUAUAAAUAUUUGAUUUGUUAUUAUGAAUUGAAUCAUGCUUCUUGAUAAUAUAUAUGUUGAUUAUUAUCCUUGUUAUGAUAAAGCAUGAUCAAUUGUUGAAUCUGAAUUCUUGAUAUGAACCAGUAUAUAUUUUGAAUUGAAUUCUGAAUUGAUAGCUCCUCAUUUGAUUGAUGUCAUGAGUUGAGCCUUGAGAUAUGAAUAUGUCUGUUUGAAUAUGAUUAUGAACCUAUGGUAUGUCAGUCAGAAUACCCAUGCUAACAGGGUAGUGUUAGUCUUUGUGCACAUCGUAUCUGAACCCUAGUUGGUCGGGGGAGUCACCAACCUGUGUGGACUGAUCAUCCCACAGUACGGAGCCUCAUGCUCAUUGCAUUUUGAUUUUCUGACUAGUUUUACCAUAUGAUAUUCUUGUUAUGGCCUAUUUGAAAAACCUUUCCAUAAGAACCUAAAGCCAUACUUGUAUAUAUAUUUCUCAUUGCUGUAUUACCUCGUGUGUGUAUAUUGAACGCUAUCUAGUCACUGAGUUGUUGAACUCACCAUCUCAUUAUUUAUCCUUUUCAGGCUUAUAGCUUGAUAGCAGGUCAUUUUGUUGGACCUUCAGAACCUGCUUUUUGGUUGUAAUUUGUACCUUCCUUUUAUGUCAAGUUAGUGCUCCAAAACUAUGAAUUAUAUUAACUCUUGUAUUAAGACAAUUCAAUUAUAUUAUGAAGUUGAUUUUGUUGUUAAUGCUGCGUUGAACUCUGAUUGAGUUAGGAUAAGUUUGUGUGUAAGUUUGGGUUCGCAUAGGUAUGGAACCUUGGAGGGGAACCUUGCC
This 19082-nucleotide long non-coding RNA is filed under the name Populus trichocarpa (black cottonwood). RNAcentral describes it as "long non-coding RNA (PTRI_LNC002782)". The record is from RNAcentral. Lineage: Eukaryota; Viridiplantae; Streptophyta; Magnoliopsida; Malpighiales; Salicaceae.